This 787-nucleotide long non-coding RNA is filed under the name Gallus gallus (chicken). Its description in RNAcentral is "lncRNA (ENSGALG00010003144.1)". The record is from RNAcentral. Lineage: Eukaryota; Metazoa; Chordata; Aves; Galliformes; Phasianidae.
CCACCAUUAACAAUGAGCCUUCUCCCACCUGCCAGGAGAGAGGAUCCAGUUCCCCGUUUCCCCCAGACCCAAUGCUGCCAAUCAAGCACUAAUUGGUGUUAAUGAUCAGUCUGUGCUGGCUGCUUCCCUGGGCUGGCUGCUUUGGGAGACAGCAGUGAGGGUCUCUGUGAUGGAGUUCCAUGGUCAAACCGUGCUGCUGUGGGGUAUGGCAUUGCUGCGGUCUCACUGUGGGAACCAGAACCUUUGGGGAAGGUUUGGUCUGAUGGAAAAGCAUCUGGGUGUGCUGCGGCAUCUCAGCACUGCUUGUGUGGCGAUGAGGAGGAUUACGUACCUGAACAUGAGUGCCAAGAUCUCUUUCUUGGGAGUUUACAGCAGGAAACCUACGAUGGGACAUUGCAGAACUGCCCGUGUGUUUCCCAGUGAUGCAUGCAGACCAUGAGGCUGGGACUUGAUUUCAGGCUCCGGAUCUGCUCCUGCUGUAUGGGGACAACUUAAUUUGUUCUCCGGGCUUUUAAUGAAUGCUAAUAAUGCUGCAGCCUACCCAUGAGUAAUUCUGUACAUCGGUUUUCUGCUGCCCUAGGAAUAAAUCAGAAUUGUGUUAUUUCCUUGAAAAAGUACUUUUGGGAGGCAGGAUCAGAGCAGCGUGUGUAUGGAAUAGUCAAAUAGAGUAUAAUACAGCACCCGUUGGGCAACUGGAGUCUGACUGUAAAGCACUGAACCCCUUUAAUUUCCACUGACUGCAAGGGAAGGUGAUCUGUCAUCUGUCUGCUUGUGGGAGAGAACUGAU